GCAUAGGACAGCUCAUUUGGUGGAGCGUGAGACUCUUAAUCUCAUGAACAUGGGUUUGAGCCCCAUGUUGGGCA
Molecule: non-coding RNA, 74 nt
Organism: Podarcis lilfordi (Lilford's wall lizard)
Lineage: Eukaryota; Metazoa; Chordata; Lepidosauria; Squamata; Lacertidae
Source: the annotation of a GenBank genome assembly